GGAGGGAUAGCUCAAUUGGAAGAGUACCGGCCAGACACGCCGGCGAUGCAGGUUCGAUGCCAGCUCCCUUCG
RNAcentral lists this transfer RNA (72 nucleotides) under Chitinophaga sp. YR627. Its description in RNAcentral is "tRNA_Val_GAC". It matches the Rfam family "tRNA". Rfam says of the family: Transfer RNA (tRNA) molecules are approximately 80 nucleotides in length. Their secondary structure includes four short double-helical elements and three loops (D, anti-codon, and T loops). The record is from RNAcentral. Lineage: Bacteria; Pseudomonadati; Bacteroidota; Chitinophagia; Chitinophagales; Chitinophagaceae.